UACGUAGGGUGCGAGCGUUGUCCGGAAUUAUUGGGCGUAAAGAGCUCGUAGGCGGUCUGUCGCGUCGAUCGUGAAAACUUGGGGCUUAACCCUGAGCUUGCGGUCGAUACGGGCAUGACUGGAGUUCGGCAGGGGAGACUGGAAUUCCUGGUGUAGCGGUGAAAUGCGCAGAUAUCAGGAGGAACACCGGUGGCGAAGGCGGGUCUCUGGGCCGAUACUGACGCUGAGGCGCGAAAGCGUGGGGAGCAAACAGG
Molecule: ribosomal RNA, 254 nt
Filed under: uncultured bacterium
Lineage: Bacteria
Description: partial 16S ribosomal RNA
Rfam family: Bacterial small subunit ribosomal RNA
Source: RNAcentral